Molecule: ribosomal RNA, 253 nt
Filed under: uncultured bacterium
Lineage: Bacteria
Description: partial 16S ribosomal RNA
Rfam family: Bacterial small subunit ribosomal RNA
Source: RNAcentral
UACGGGGGGAGCAAGCGUUGUUCGGAUUUACUGGGCGUAAAGGGCGCGUAGGCGGUUGCACAAGUCAGUUGUGAGAUCUCCGGGCUUAACUCGGAAAGGUCAACUGAUACUGUGCGACUAGAGUGCAGAAGGGGCAACUGGAAUUCUCGGUGUAGCGGUGAAAUGCGUAGAUAUCGAGAGGAACACCGGUGGCGAAGGCGGGUCUCUGGGCCGAAACUGACGCUGAGGAGCGAAAGCGUGGGGAGCAAACAGG